Long non-coding RNA from Vidua macroura (Pin-tailed whydah), 262 nucleotides. RefSeq lists it as uncharacterized. The record is from RefSeq and is a predicted model, not a curated record. The transcript has 3 exons. NCBI's taxonomy places the organism in Eukaryota, Metazoa, Chordata, Aves, Passeriformes, Viduidae.
CCUCCAGCUCACUGGGACAAACCCGAGCACCUCAGGGUCUUGUUUGCUGCUGGAGACACUCAGCUCAGGGUUUUGGUGGGGUAGGGCCUCACAUUUGGGGUCUCUGAGCCAGAUGUGCACCAGCAGCCUUAAUGUGUCUGUUCUUGCUGGGGACUUCUCACAGCCACAGACAAGAACCAGUCCAGUGUGAGUGCUCACUGUUGGAGGAAAGCCUUCUAAGAAGAUCCAACAAUGAAUAAUUCCAGUGAAAGCAUUGCUCAGG